Molecule: ribosomal RNA, 557 nt
Filed under: uncultured bacterium
Lineage: Bacteria
Description: bacterial SSU rRNA
Rfam family: Bacterial small subunit ribosomal RNA
Source: RNAcentral
GUCGAACGGAUACUAAAAUAGCUUGCUAUUUGGCGUCAAGUGGCGAACGGGUGAAUAACGCGUACGAAUCUACCCAGUAUAGGGGGAUAGCCCGAAGAAAUUCGGAUUAAUACCGCAUAAUCUCUACGGAGUAGAGAAGGCAUCUUUACAAUGCUUUUACUAUUGGAUGAGCCUGCGUUAGAUUAGUUAGUUGGUAGGGUAAAAGCCUACCAAGGCGACGAUCUAUAGCUGGUUUUACGAGAAUGAUCAGCCACACUGGAACUGAGACACGGUCCAGACUCCUACGGGAGGCAGCAGUGAAGAAUAUUGGACAAUGGGGGAAACCCUGAUCCAGCAAUGUUGCGUGUGUGAAGAAGGUCCGAGGAUUGUAAAGCACUUUCAGUAAGCAAGAAAAAUGUAAAUCUAAUAGAUUUGCAUGUUGACCACUUAUAGAAGAAGCACCGGCUAACUCCGUGCCAGCAGCCGCGGUAAUACGGAGGGUGCGAGCGUUAAUCGGAAUUACUGGGCGUAAAGGGUAAGUAGGCGGUUUAUAAAGUCACAUGUGAAAGCCCUAGGCU